UGUGUAGGCGGUUUAUUAAGUCUAAGAUCAAAGCCCGAGGCUCAACCUCGGUUCGUCCUAGAAACUGGUAGACUUGAGUGUAGUAGAGGCAAAUGGAAUUUCUAGUGUAGCGGUUAAAUGCGUAGAUAUUAGAAGGAACACCAGUGGCGAAGGCGAUUUGCUGGGCUAUUACUGACGCUGAGACACGAAAGCGUGGGGAGCAAACAGGAUUAGAUACCCUGGUAGUCC
Molecule: ribosomal RNA, 228 nt
Filed under: uncultured bacterium
Lineage: Bacteria
Description: partial 16S ribosomal RNA
Rfam family: Bacterial small subunit ribosomal RNA
Source: RNAcentral